AGUAACUAUAAUUAAUUACUUUUUCAAAGUAACUUGCCCAACACUGGUUGUAGCUUAAAUCACUAGAGUUUAUUAGCAAGGACCUGACUUUAUUAUUUUAGUUUGUUAAAAAUUUCUAUUCCUCUUGUGGCCGAAUUUGGCUUCAGUGUUUGUAAGUCAGUGUCCAGCAGCAGUCUGUAUUCAGUUUGAAUAUUGCUGUAAAUUGAUAUGGAUCAGUUUAUGCCUUUUAUUAACUGUAACAUUUAACUUUUGGGUGACAGCACAAGGGAACAGAGAAUGAGAGAGCAAGAUGAAAACGGCAAAGAGAGAGAGCAAAAAUAAACAGUUGAGUGGGGAGGAAGAAGAGAGAGAUGUUGUACAGGAACAGGAAGGAGAGAGCAGAUAGUAAAGUUAGGUGAAAAAAAAAUAUUUUUCACAAACUAAUUCUUUGUGUAUUUCAAGGAUGCUCAGUAGCAAAAAAAAAAAAAAA
Long non-coding RNA from Oreochromis niloticus (Nile tilapia), 469 nucleotides. RefSeq lists it as uncharacterized. The transcript has 2 exons. The record is from RefSeq and is a predicted model, not a curated record. NCBI's taxonomy places the organism in Eukaryota, Metazoa, Chordata, Actinopteri, Cichliformes, Cichlidae.